This is a small nuclear RNA of Peromyscus maniculatus bairdii (prairie deer mouse), 102 nucleotides long. Lineage: Eukaryota; Metazoa; Chordata; Mammalia; Rodentia; Cricetidae. The record is from Ensembl.
CUUGCUCUGACAAAACAUACUAAAAUGUGAACAAUACAGUGAAGACUAGCAUGAUUCCUGUGCGAGGAUGCCCCUCAACUUCAUGGAGUGAUCCAGAUUUUA